This 403-nucleotide ribosomal RNA is filed under the name uncultured bacterium. Its description in RNAcentral is "bacterial SSU rRNA". It matches the Rfam family "Bacterial small subunit ribosomal RNA", at positions 29 to 416 of the family's 1533-position model. The record is from RNAcentral.
AACGAACGCUGGCGGCAUGCCUAAUACAUGCAAGUCGAACGAGAAAGUUCCUUCGGGAGCGAGUAAAGUGGCGCACGGGUGAGUAACACGUAGGUGACCUACCUAGUAGAGUGGGAUAACAGUAAGAAAUUAUUGCUAAUACCGCAUAAGUUCGCUGAAAGUGGAAGUAAGCGAAGAAAAGAUGGCCUCUAUUUAUAAGCUAUCGCUACAUGAAGGGCCUGCGGCUCAUUAGCUAGUUGGUGGGUAAAGGCCUACCAAGGCUAUGAUGAGUAGCCGGUCUGAGAGGAUGAUCGGCCACACUGGAACUGAGACACGGUCCAGACUCCUACGGGAGGCAGCAGUAGGGAAUAUUGCGCAAUGGGGGCAACCCUGACGCAGCGAUGCCGCGUGAGUGAGGAAGGCC